AGUUGGAGAAGAUGCCCUGCUAGAUGGGGGCUCGAAGCCUGUCCUUUCAAACACCGAAGGGGAUGAUGAUGCUACUCGUCCGAUAAUCACUAAACAGAUGACCACAGUUGGAGACGAUGCCCUGCUAGAUGGGGGCUCGAAGCCUGUCCUUUCAAACACCGAAGGGGAUGAUGAUGCUACUCGUCCGAUAAUCACUAAACAGAUGACCACAGUUGGAGACGAUGCCCUGCUAGAUGGGGGCUCGAAGCCUGUCCUUUCAAACACCGAAGGGGAUGAUGUUGCUACUCGUCCGAUAAUCACUAAACAGGUACAUUCAUGUUUAUCACUUCAAAUGUAAUUAUAGUCUCUCUCA
RNAcentral lists this long non-coding RNA (352 nucleotides) under Gadus morhua (Atlantic cod). RNAcentral's name for it is "lncRNA (ENSGMOG00000022289.1)". Lineage: Eukaryota; Metazoa; Chordata; Actinopteri; Gadiformes; Gadidae. The record is from RNAcentral.